This 876-nucleotide small RNA is filed under the name Arabidopsis thaliana (thale cress). Its description in RNAcentral is "ATSL293190". Lineage: Eukaryota; Viridiplantae; Streptophyta; Magnoliopsida; Brassicales; Brassicaceae. The record is from RNAcentral.
UAUCCUAGCUACUCCUCCUCAUUCAGGUUCAUUGGCAAAUGAGACUGUGCAGAACAGUGUCUUAGUAAGCAAUCAAUUUGCUGUGUUUGACAUGGGAGUAUAUGGUUAUGUGAUGGGUGAUGAAUCCUCUCAAGGACCCAAGGAGGAAGGACAAUGAUCAAGCCUACUCAAAAAUUUCACUAGCAAUGGAUUAUGGGUGUGGUGUGAAGAUGCAGAUUCUGACAACAACGAGCUGAUGGAUAUCAGGAGCUGUUAGAUAUCAGAAUAACAAGUUGAUGGAUAUCAGGACAACGAGAUGGUGGACAUUAGGAAACUCUUGGAUAUCAGGAAGCUGCAUCAAAUCUACAUCAAACGUCUGAAUUGCUGACAUGGACGCGUAAGCUGACAUGAUGGAGCUGGAGUGGUUGAUGUGACGUGCCAAGACGCUUUGCUGACUUAGCGUGGUGAUCAAAGACGAAAGUCGGUUGAAAAGAUUUGGUGAAUAUUCUUCUCAACAAAUAAGGAAAGAGAUAGACUUAAAUAUCAAGAAGGAUCUCAAACAAGGAAAGUGAUAGGCUUGGAAAUCAAGGAAAAUCCCAACAAGAAAAGAGAUAGGUUUGACGUUCAAGAAAGAUCCCGCUCAUCGAUUCUUGGAGAAUAGUAUAAAUUUUCUAGAAAUAGGCAUUGAGCCGCCGAAACACUCUAGAAUAUUGCCAUACGUGUAUAGCUUUCGAAGCCUAGAAAAAGCUUAAAAAGUGGUGUUUGUAAUUCUCUUUCUCUUCCCAGGUGUGUGAUAAGAAACGGAUGAAAGAAUUAGGCUUUGAUUUGUUUUUAGUAGAGGUUGACUAUUCGGGUAGAAUAUGUCAAGUAAUUGCCGAGCUAAUAGAAUUCUUGUAA